Molecule: non-coding RNA, 588 nt
Filed under: Pongo abelii (Sumatran orangutan)
Lineage: Eukaryota; Metazoa; Chordata; Mammalia; Primates; Hominidae
Source: RNAcentral
UUUUUUGAGACAGAGUCCUACUCUGUCGCCCAGGCAUGAGUGCAGUGGCGCAAUCUCAGCUCACUGCAAUCUCCACCUCCCCAGUUCAAAUGAUUCUCCUUCCUCAGCCUCCCAAGUAGCUGGGAUUACAGCAAGCUGGAGUGCAGUGGCACCAUCUUGGCUUACUGCAACCUCUGCCUCCUGGGUUCAAGAGAUUCUCCUCCGGCCUCAGCCUCCCGAGUAGCUGGGACUACAGGCGCCCGCUCCCAUGCCCACUAAUUUUUUUUGUAUUUUUAGUAGAGACGGGGUUUCACUAUGUUGGCCAGGAUGGUCUUCAUCUCUUGACCUCAUAAUCUGCCCGGCUUGGCCUCCCAAAGUGCUGGGAUUACAGGCAUGAGCUACUGCAGUCGGCCCUGUUCUUAUUUUUUAUUUAUUUUUAGAUGGAGUCUCUGUUGCCCGGGCUGGAGUGCAGUGGUGCGAUCUUGGCUCACCACAACCUCUGCCCUCCAGGUUCAAGCGAUUCUCCUGCCUCAGCCUCCCGAGUAGCUGGGACUACAGGCGCGUGCCACCAUGCCCGGCUAAUUUUUGUAUUUUUAGUAGAGACAGGGU